This 469-nucleotide long non-coding RNA is filed under the name Homo sapiens (human). Its description in RNAcentral is "non-protein coding LINC01510:6". Lineage: Eukaryota; Metazoa; Chordata; Mammalia; Primates; Hominidae. The record is from RNAcentral.
CCCCUUGACUGGGCAAACUUCAAACAAGUGACUGAGCUCCCUUAGCUGCCACUGAUUGGACCAGGAUGGACAACAAAUGUAGGAGGAGUUCAUCUGGAUCUAGCCUGAGCCAGUCAGAUAUCCCCUUUGAAUCCAUGCCUAUAGAAAUACAAAAAAAUGGAAGCCAGAGGAUGAUGGAUCCUUGAAGUAAUAAGUCAGCUCUGUGGAAGUUUGAGUGACUCAUUGCAGAGAGGAAUUGAUGAAGUCAACAGCUGCUGGAAAAACUUCUUUUUCCUUAAUAGCUGUAUCAACAUGUGGUUGCUAUUAUUCAAGUAAGAAAAAUAUGUAUAUCAAACAUCCAUGGUAGUCCUUGCUAAAAUUUUCAUUAGAGAGACUCAUGUUUUGACAUUAAAAAAAGUUCAAAUGGGUACCUUAGAGGAUGUUUUGUUGGAGAACAAAAUCAUGGAGAAAUAAAGUCUAAAAAGAAAAA